GCCCGGAGAUAGCUGGUUCUCCCCGAAAUAGCUUUAGGGCUAGCCUCAAGGUGAGAGAUACGGAGGUAGAGCACUGAAUGUCCUAGGGGGUAUUGCACCUACCGAAGACUAUCAAACUCCGAAUGCCGUCAUCUUAUACUUGGGAGUCAGACUGUGGGUGAUAAGAUUCAUAGUCGAAAGGGCAACAGCCCAGAUCGUCAGCUAAGGUCCCUAAAUGUAAGUUAAGUGGUAAAGGAUGUGGGAUUGCACAGACAACCAGGAUGUUGGCUUAGAAGCAGCCACUCAUUCAAAGAGUGCGUAAUAGCUCACUGGUCGAGUGAUCCUGCGCCGAAGAUUUCCGGGGCUAAAACUUACUACCGAAGCUACGGCAUCAGUAAUGAUGGGUAGGGGAGCUUCCCAUACAGGUUGAAGCAUGACCGUAAGGACAUGUGGACAGUAUGGGAGUGAGAAUGUUGGCAUGAGUAGCGAGAUGUGGGUGAGAAUCCCACAGGCCGUAAACCCAAGGUUUCCAGGGGAAGGUUCGUCCGCCCUGGGUUAGUCGGGACCUAAGCUGAGGCCGAAAGGCGUAGGUGAUGGACAACAGGUUGAUAUUCCUGUACUACCGAUAACCGUUUGAGAGAAGGGAUGACACA
This 632-nucleotide ribosomal RNA is filed under the name Clostridioides difficile. Its description in RNAcentral is "partial 23S ribosomal RNA". It matches the Rfam family "Bacterial large subunit ribosomal RNA", at positions 837 to 1476 of the family's 2925-position model. The record is from RNAcentral. Lineage: Bacteria; Bacillati; Bacillota; Clostridia; Peptostreptococcales; Peptostreptococcaceae.